GGAAUAUUGGACAAUGGGCGAAAGCCUGAUCCAGCAAUGCCGCGUGUGUGAAGAAGGUCUUCGGAUUGUAAAGCACUUUCGACGGGGACGAUGAUGACGGUACCCGUAGAAGAAGCCCCGGCUAACUUCGUGCCAG
RNAcentral lists this ribosomal RNA (136 nucleotides) under uncultured bacterium. RNAcentral describes it as "partial 16S ribosomal RNA". It matches the Rfam family "Bacterial small subunit ribosomal RNA", at positions 358 to 511 of the family's 1533-position model. The record is from RNAcentral.